RNAcentral lists this ribosomal RNA (505 nucleotides) under uncultured bacterium. Its description in RNAcentral is "partial 16S ribosomal RNA". It matches the Rfam family "Bacterial small subunit ribosomal RNA", at positions 29 to 523 of the family's 1533-position model. The record is from RNAcentral.
AGUGAACGCUGGCGGUAGGCCUAACACAUGCAAGUCGAACGGCAGCACAGGAGAGCUUGCUCUCUGGGUGGCGAGUGGCGGACGGGUGAGGAAUACAUCGGAAUCUACUUUUUCGUGGGGGAUAACGUAGGGAAACUUACGCUAAUACCGCAUACGACCUACGGGUGAAAGCAGGGGACCUUCGGGCCUUGCGCGAUUGAAUGAGCCGAUGUCGGAUUAGCUAGUUGGGGGGGUAAAGGCCCACCAAGGCGACGAUCCGGAGCUGGUCUGAGGGGAUGAUCAGCCACACUGGAACUGGGACACGGUCAGACUCCUACGGGAGGCAGCAGUGGGGAACAUUGGACAAUGGGCGCAAGCCUGAUCCAGCCAUACCGCGUGGGUGAAGAAGGCCUUCGGGUUGUAAAGCCCUUUUGUUGGGAAAGAAAUCCAGCUGGCUAAUACCCGGUUGGGAUGACGGUACCCAAAGAAUAAGCACCGGCUAACUUCGUGCCAGCCGCCGCCGUAA